RNAcentral lists this ribosomal RNA (840 nucleotides) under uncultured bacterium. RNAcentral describes it as "bacterial SSU rRNA". It matches the Rfam family "Bacterial small subunit ribosomal RNA", at positions 62 to 861 of the family's 1533-position model. The record is from RNAcentral.
UCGAGCGAGUCUGCCUUGAAGAUCGGAGUGCUUGCACUCUGUGAAACAAGAUACAGGCUAGCGGCGGACGGGUGAGUAACACGUGGGUAACCUGCCCAAGAGAUCGGGAUAACACCUGGAAACAGAUGCUAAUACCGGAUAACAACAGAUGAUGCCUAUCAACUGUUUAAAAGAUGGUUCUGCUAUCACUCUUGGAUGGACCUGCGGUGCAUUAGCUAGUUGGUAGGGUAACGGCCUACCAAGGCGAUGAUGCAUAGCCGAGUUGAGAGACUGAUCGGCCACAUUGGGACUGAGACACGGCCCAAACUCCUACGGGAGGCAGCAGUAGGGAAUCUUCCACAAUGGACGCAAGUCUGAUGGAGCAACGCCGCGUGAGUGAAGAAGGGUUUCGGCUCGUAAAGCUCUGUUGUUGGUGAAGAAGGACAGGGGUAGUAACUGACCUUUGUUUGACGGUAAUCAAUUAGAAAGUCACGGCUAACUACGUGCCAGCAGCCGCGGUAAUACGUAGGUGGCAAGCGUUGUCCGGAUUUAUUGGGCGUAAAGCGAGUGCAGGCGGCUCGAUAAGUCUGAUGUGAAAGCCUUCGGCUCAACCGGAGAAUUGCAUCAGAAACUGUCGAGCUUGAGUACAGAAGAGGAGAGUGGAACUCCAUGUGUAGCGGUGAAAUGCGUAGAUAUAUGGAAGAACACCGGUGGCGAAGGCGGCUCUCUGGUCUGUUACUGACGCUGAGGCUCGAAAGCAUGGGUAGCGAACAGGAUUAGAUACCCUGGUAGUCCAUGCCGUANACGAUGAGUGCUAAGUGUUGGGAGGUUUCCGCCUCUCAGUGCUGCAGCUAACGCAUU